CCUACGGGUGGCAGCAGUGGGGAAUAUUGCACAAUGGGGGAAACCCUGAUGCAGCGACGCCGCGUGAGGGAAGAAGGAUUUCGGUAUGUAAAGCCCUAUUAGCAGGGAAGAAAAUGACGGUACCUGAGGAAUAAGCACCGGCUAACUCCGUGCCAGCAGCCGCGGUAAUACGGAGGGGGCAAGCGUUAUUCGGAUUUACUGGGCGUAAAGAGCGCGUAGGCGGCAGUGCAAGUCUGGAGUGAAAAGCUAUGGCUUAACCACAGGACUGCAUUUGAAACUGUCCUUCUGGAGUGCAGGAGAGGUAGGUGGAAUUCCUGGUGUAGCGGUGAAAUGCGUAGAUAUUAGGAGGAACACCCGUUGCGAAGGCGGCCUACUGGACUGUAACUGACGCUGAGGCGCGAAAGCGUGGGGAGCAAACAGGAUUAGAUACCCUUGUAGUC
This 440-nucleotide ribosomal RNA is filed under the name uncultured bacterium. RNAcentral's name for it is "partial 16S ribosomal RNA". It matches the Rfam family "Bacterial small subunit ribosomal RNA", at positions 338 to 795 of the family's 1533-position model. The record is from RNAcentral.